UACGGAGGAUGCAAGCGUUAUCCGGAAUGAUUGGGCGUAAAGGGUCCGCAGGUGGCAAUGUAAGUCUGCUGUCAAAGAGUGAGGCUUAACCUCAUCAAGGCAGUGGAAACUACAUAGCUAGAGUACGGUCGGGGUAGAAGGAAUUCCUGGUGUAGCGGUGAAAUGCGUAGAGAUCAGGAAGAACACCGGUGGCGAAAGCGUUCUGCUAGACCUGUACUGACACUGAGGGACGAAAGCUAGGGGAGCGAAUGGG
This 253-nucleotide ribosomal RNA is filed under the name uncultured bacterium. RNAcentral describes it as "partial 16S ribosomal RNA". It matches the Rfam family "Bacterial small subunit ribosomal RNA", at positions 524 to 776 of the family's 1533-position model. The record is from RNAcentral.